AUCGAUGUGGCAGAUGAAUUGUGUAGAGUUUAAGUCUCUUUUAUGUUUUACCUUCGAUU
RNAcentral lists this transfer RNA (59 nucleotides) under Unionicola foili. RNAcentral describes it as "tRNA-Leu". The record is from RNAcentral. Lineage: Eukaryota; Metazoa; Arthropoda; Arachnida; Trombidiformes; Unionicolidae.